AUUGAACGCUGGCGGCAGGCUUAACACAUGCAAGUCGAGCGGGGGAAGGUCGCUUGCUACCGGACCUAGCGGCGGACGGGUGCGUAAUGCUUAGGAAUCUGCCUAUUAGUGGGGGACAACAUCUCGAAAGGGAUGCUAAUACCGCAUACGUCCUAUGGGAGAAAGCAGGGGAUCUUCGGACCUUGCGCUAAUAGAUGAGCCUAAGUCGGAGUAGCUAGUUGGUGGGGUCAAGGCCUACCAAGGCGACGAUCUGAAGCGGGUCUGAGAGGAUGAUCCGCCACACUGGGACUGAGACACGGCCCAGACUCCUACGGGAGGCAGCAGUGGGGAAUAUUGGACAAUGGGGGGAACCCUGAUCCAGCCAUGCCGCGUGUGUGAAGAAGGCCUUAUGGUUGUAAAGCACUUUAAGCGAGGAGGAGGCUACUUUAGUUAAUACCUAGAGAUAGUGGACGUUACUCGCAGAAUAAGCACCGGCUAACUCUGUGCCAGCCGCCGCGGUAA
This 501-nucleotide ribosomal RNA is filed under the name uncultured bacterium. RNAcentral describes it as "partial 16S ribosomal RNA". It matches the Rfam family "Bacterial small subunit ribosomal RNA", at positions 30 to 523 of the family's 1533-position model. The record is from RNAcentral.